AUUGAACGCUGGCGGCAGGCCUAACACAUGCAAGUCGAGCGGAUGAAGGGAGCUUGCUCCUGGAUUCAGCGGCGGACGGGUGAGUAAUGCCUAGGAAUCUGCCUGGCAGUGGGGGAUAACGUCCGGAAACGGGCGCUAAUACCGCAUACGUCCUGAGGGAGAAAGUGGGGGAUCCUCGGACCUCACGCUAUCAGAUGAGCCUAGGUCGGAUUAGCUAGUUGGUGGGGUAAAGGCCUACCAAGGCGACGAUCCGUAACUGGUCUGAGAGGAUGAUCAGUCGCACUGGAACUGAGACACGGUCCAGACUCCUACGGGAGGCAGCAGUGGGGAAUAUUGGACAAUGGGCGAAAGCCUGAUCCAGCCAUGCCGCGUGUGUGAAGAAGGUCUUCGGAUUGUAAAGCACUUUAAGUUGGGAGGAAGGGCAGUAAGUUAAUACCUUGCUGUUUUGACGUUACCAACAGAAUAAGCACCGGCUAACUUCGUG
This 484-nucleotide ribosomal RNA is filed under the name uncultured bacterium. RNAcentral describes it as "partial 16S ribosomal RNA". It matches the Rfam family "Bacterial small subunit ribosomal RNA", at positions 30 to 507 of the family's 1533-position model. The record is from RNAcentral.